AUUGAACGCUGGCGGCAUGCCUUACACAUCCAAGUCGAACGGCAGCAUGAUCUAGCUUGCUAGAUUGAUGGCGAGUGGCGCACGGGUGAGUAAUACAUCGGAACGUGCCCUGUAGUGGGGGAUAACUAGUCGAAAGAUUAGCUAAUACCGCAUACGACCUGAGGGUGAAAGUGGGGGACCGCAAGGCCUCAUGCUAUAGGAGCGGCCGAUGUCUGAUUAGCUAGUUGGUGAGGUAAAGGCUCACCAAGGCGACGAUCAGUAGCUGGUCUGAGAGGACGAUCAGCCACACUGGGACUGAGACACGGCCCAGACUCCUACGGGAGGCAGCAGUGGGGAAUUUUGGACAAUGGGCGAAAGCCUGAUCCAGCAAUGCCGCGUGUGUGAAGAAGGCCUUCGGGUUGUAAAGCACUUUUGUCCGGAAAGAAAUGGCUCUGGUUAAUACCUGGGGUCGAUGACGGUACCGGAAGAAUAAGGACCGGCUAACUACGUG
Molecule: ribosomal RNA, 490 nt
Filed under: uncultured bacterium
Lineage: Bacteria
Description: partial 16S ribosomal RNA
Rfam family: Bacterial small subunit ribosomal RNA
Source: RNAcentral